UUUCCGUAGGUGAACCUGCGGAAGGAUCAUUCAUAAUAAAGUGUUUUAUGGCACUUUUUAAAAAUCCAUAUCCACCUUGUGUGCAAUGUUAGAUCUCGUCAAUCUUGGCGAGAUUUUUAUUCAUCAACUCAUUCUUUAACUAAUUUGUCUGAAAAAUAUUAUGAAUACUUAAUUCAAAAUACAACUUUCAACAACGGAUCUCUUGGCUCUC
Molecule: unclassified non-coding RNA, 211 nt
Filed under: plant metagenome
Description: partial contains small subunit ribosomal RNA, internal transcribed spacer 1, and 5.8S ribosomal RNA
Source: RNAcentral